GCACUUGUAGUUUAAUGGAUAGAACGUGGGCCUCCGACGCCCUUGAUGCAGGUUCGAUUCCUGUCGGGUGCA
RNAcentral lists this transfer RNA (72 nucleotides) under Lachnospiraceae bacterium. RNAcentral's name for it is "tRNA-Arg". It matches the Rfam family "tRNA". Rfam says of the family: Transfer RNA (tRNA) molecules are approximately 80 nucleotides in length. Their secondary structure includes four short double-helical elements and three loops (D, anti-codon, and T loops). Further hydrogen bonds mediate the characteristic L-shaped molecular structure. tRNAs have two regions of fundamental functional importance: the anti-codon, which is responsible for specific mRNA codon recognition, and the 3' end, to which the tRNAs corresponding amino acid is attached (by aminoacyl-tRNA synthetases). tRNAs cope with the degeneracy of the genetic code in two manners: having more than one tRNA (with a specific anti-codon) for a particular amino acid; and 'wobble' base-pairing, i.e. permitting non-standard base-pairing at the 3rd anti-codon position. RNAcentral also lists the same sequence under 1 other name. Lineage: Bacteria; Bacillati; Bacillota; Clostridia; Lachnospirales; Lachnospiraceae. The record is from RNAcentral.